CUAUUUAUCGUAGAGCCAUUCCCCUGUUCUCGAAAAUGACCUCUGAGUUUCUUGCAAGAAGCGGGAAUUGCUUAGUAAUAGAGUUAAUGGGUCCGUGUUGAUCAAGUCUGUUUUAUAUGUUACACUGUCAUUGCUAUAUUUUAUUUUGUUGUCAACGGGUCAGAAAUUAUUUCGCUGUUUCUUUUUUCCUUGACAAAUCUUUGCCGGUUUUAUAAUCUUUUAAUUUUUUUUACUAAUGAUUCUUUUCAAAUUUCGUCUAUGACCAUGCCUAAGGGAGUUUUUUUUUAUUUAUCUAAUUAGAUUAGUAAAAUCCCGUCGCCUGUUUUGUUCGCCUGAAACAAGUCCUGAAAAUGUUGAUACUGUGUACGGCCUCACACGGUGGAAAUUAUGCUUCGCCUUCAUAUUUGAUUCCUUUUUAGUCGAUCAGAGAUUUUUGUUGUUUUUUGGGGUUUUU
This 454-nucleotide long non-coding RNA is filed under the name Mytilus galloprovincialis (Mediterranean mussel). The record is from RNAcentral. Lineage: Eukaryota; Metazoa; Mollusca; Bivalvia; Mytilida; Mytilidae.